UACGUAGGGGCUAGCGUUAUCCGGAAUUACUGGGCGUAAAGGGUGCGUAGGUGGUUUCUUAAGUCAGAGGUGAAAGGCUACGGCUCAACCGUAGUAAGCCUUUGUAAACUGAGAAACUUGAGUGCAGGAGAGGAGAGUAGAAUUCCUAGUGUAGCGGUGAAAUGCGUAGAGAUUAGGAAGAACACCAGUGGCGAAGGCGAUUCUCUGGACUGUAACUGACGCUGAGGCUCGAAAGCGUGGGGAGCAAACAGGAUUAGAUACCCUGGUAGUCCCUGA
Molecule: ribosomal RNA, 276 nt
Filed under: uncultured prokaryote
Description: partial 16S ribosomal RNA
Rfam family: Bacterial small subunit ribosomal RNA
Source: RNAcentral